GAUGAACGCUGGCGGCGUGCUUAACACAUGCAAGUCGAACGGAAAGGCCCAAGCUUGCUUGGGUACUCGAGUGGCGAACGGGUGAGUAACACGUGGGUGAUCUGCCCUGCACUUCGGGAUAAGCCUGGGAAACUGGGUCUAAUACCGGAUAGGACGAUGGUUUGGAUGCCAUUGUGGAAAGUUUUUUCGGUGUGGGAUGAGCUCGCGGCCUAUCAGCCUGUUGGUGGGGUAAUGGCCUACCAAGGCGUCGACGGGUAGCCGGCCUGAGAGGGUGUACGGCCACAUUGGGACUGAGAUACGGCCCAGACUCCUACGGGAGGCAGCAGUGGGGAAUAUUGCACAAUGGGCGCAAGCCUGAUGCAGCGACGCCGCGUGGGGGAUGACGGCCUUCGGGUUGUAAACUCCUUUCGCUAGGGACGAAGCGUUUUUGUGACGGUACCUGGAGAAGAAGCACCGGCUAACUACGUG
This 468-nucleotide ribosomal RNA is filed under the name uncultured bacterium. Its description in RNAcentral is "partial 16S ribosomal RNA". It matches the Rfam family "Bacterial small subunit ribosomal RNA", at positions 28 to 507 of the family's 1533-position model. The record is from RNAcentral.